AACUUUGUCAUGAAUUGUCAGUGCUGAGUUCCUGGUAGUUGGUAAAAAGAAUUGCCUUCUCUCUGAUAUCCUGUUCUGCGGGAAGUCCUUGUGGUUUAGAUUCACAGUUUCUCAUUGUUGCUAGCUACAGUCGUCUCCUCCCUCCUAGCCUUCCCUCCCCACAGCUCUAGCUAUUCCCAUAUCCCUCCCCAUUCUUGUAUCACUUGCCCCACAGAUACCCUCGUGAUUAGAGGUCUUUUGCUGGAGGUUGACUGUGCUGUCUGCUCUCUGACACAGCUGGCUAUUCUAGUCCCAGAAGAAAGAGGAGAGACUUGCUGAAGAUCUGGAUGGGACAAUAGAAGUUUGGGGCACAUUAAAAAGAAGCAGCAAGAACAUCAACAAAAACCUCAGAUGAUUCAAACAGGCUUCUUCUUGGCUUUGUGGAACCUUUUGCAGUUGCUCAGAAUUUGAGUUUUUGCUUCAGAGGAUGAUGAGACAAGGCAAUAGAGGGUGAGGAGGAUUAUGUUGGAUUCUUGCUUCUCUGUCUGCCUCUCCUUCCAGUUGGAAAAAUCUUCAGUCCAUAAGAAGCAUUAUCAACAAGCCUGAAGAACACAUCUUACCCUGAUCCUGGAUGCUGUUGGAGUUGAGAAUUACAUCCACUUCACCAGGACUUUAUGGAGGCUGUUCAAGAAAAAUAGAAGGAAGCAAUACUUAAGGAUUUCUCUGUUUGCAUUAGUCCUGUGCCAUGUUACAUUUUGGAGAUUGUUUGGAACAAGUGAGGGAGGGCUCUGUCAUCUUGAUCUAGGAGGAUACCUGAGUCCCUUGACUACACAGAU
RNAcentral lists this small RNA (815 nucleotides) under Pan troglodytes (chimpanzee). RNAcentral describes it as "processed transcript". Lineage: Eukaryota; Metazoa; Chordata; Mammalia; Primates; Hominidae. The record is from RNAcentral.